This is an RNA transcript of Zea mays, 3525 nucleotides long. It is a transcript of the gene named protein SPA1-RELATED 4, with no coding region annotated. The transcript has 7 exons. NCBI's taxonomy places the organism in Eukaryota, Viridiplantae, Streptophyta, Magnoliopsida, Poales, Poaceae. The record is from RefSeq and is a predicted model, not a curated record.
AAAUCUUUUUGGGAAUCGCCUGCCAAGUACCAGUAGACCGGGGGAGAGCUCGAGGAGUAGGGUUGGAGUCUUGGAGAGGCGUAGGGGUGCGUGCGGCGCUGGAGUUGUUGUUGUUGCUGGCUUCGCCUCGCCGGCUUACGUUUUCUUCCUCCUCCGCGGCGUGGCUGCCACUGCCAGUGGGUGUGGCCUGUGGGCGUCGAGUCAAGACAGUGUCGUCGUUUCAUCUCCGCGGUCAGGUUUGGUUUGUUGUCUAGUGCAGCGGUACUGUUCCUGUAGAUGUAGAGCAGCAGUUCGAGCCUUCGAGGGCGAGGGAGAUGGACUGGCCUGGUCGCUGUGCGCCCUGUGCGGGCUUCCGCCCCGAACUGGGGCGGGGGCGGGGGCGGGGGCGAGGUGUUCGUGGGUAAGGGUCGCGGGCGUUGUGCGGCUGGGAGGCGGCUACCGAGGCGACGGAAAUAAAGCAGUAGUAGACGAGAGAGCCACGAUUUAUAAAGCGGGUUUUGUGUGGGUGUGGCUCGCUGCUCGCCUCUCCUCCACUCCUCUCACUGCUCCUCCCACCUCGCGUUUGUUCGGCGGGCUCAGGUGGCUGCUUGCUGGCCUUGCUGCUGCUUCAGAUCCUUAUCCCCUCCGCUACAUCGAGGCCGUUCGGAGCUGUCCUUUCUGCUUCGGAUGGGAGUGGCGGAGCAGUGCAUGGAGGUGCGGGGCGCGGCGAAUCGGAGGUGAUCCCGGUCAUGGGGUAGAGUGGAGGGGGCGGAGUGUGUGUGGUAUGGAGCCGUCCCGUGGCGCCACUGGCGGCGCGCGGCGGUGGGGGGAGGCGGAGACCGAGGUUGAUGCGGCGGAGGAAGGGAGACGGGCGGAGGACGGCGGCGAGGUGAGCCUGCGGGAGUGGCUGGACCGGCCGGGCCGGGCGGUGGAGGCGGCGGAGUGCGUGCACGUGUUCAGGCAGGUGGCGGAGGCGGUGGCCGUCGCGCACGCACAGGGGGUGGCCGUGGGCAGCGCGCGGCCGUCGUGCUUCGUCGUGUCGCCGCCCUUCGCGCGCGUCGCCUUCAUCGAGUCCGCCUCCGGCUCCGACGCCUCGGGUUCGUGCUCUGGCUCCGACGCCUCCGAGGACGCCGACCCGGACGCCUCGCCUCCGCGGCGAGGGGACGGCGCCGGACGCGGCGAGGAGCGCGCGGGGAAGUCGUUCCCGCUCAAGAGCGUGCUGGCCAUGGAGCUCAACUGGUACACCAGUCCCGAGGAGGCGGACGACAGCGCCGCUACCUUCGCCUCUGACGUCUAUAGACUGGGUGUGCUCUUGUUCGAGCUGUUCUGCACAUUCGAAACAAUGGAGGACAAGAUGCGGGCAAUGGCGAAUCUGAGGCACCGGGUGUUGCCGCCACAGUUGCUGCUCAAAUGGCCCAAGGAAGCAUCUUUCUGCCAGUUGCUAAUGCACCCUGUGCCAGAAACCAGACCGAAGAUGAGUGAGGUGCUGCAGAGUGAAUUCCUUAAUCAGUCAAGGAAUAGCCUGGAAGAACGUGAAGCGGCACUUAGGUUACGCGAAGAGAUAGAAGAACAAGAAUUAUUGCUGGAUUUUCUUCAGCAGUUGCAGAAAAGAAAGCAAGAUAUGGCAGACAGUUUGCAGGACACUGUUGCUUUUCUCUCUUCUGACAUCAAUGAGGUACUCCACCAGCAGUCUGCACUUGGCCACUGUGUGAACUUCUCACCAGAUUUGGAUAAAGAGGUGUGCUCUGGAACUGUUGAAGAUCAGAGUGAUUGUGGAUCCAGGAAGCGUUUUAGACCUGAGCUGCAAGGCGUUGAUAUGGAGGAAAAUAAUCGUAGUGUGGAAGAAUGUUCAAGAACAGUGCCGUCCUCUGAGUUAAUCCAGGAAAAUGUUCUGUCAAAAAGCUCCAGGUUGAUGAAGAACUUAAAAAAACUUGAAACAGCUUAUUUUCUAACAAGGUCCAAGUUGGCGAAGCAAGUUGGCAACCAGAUAAAUAGUUGUAAUCGAGUUGUUAAGAGGACUACUGGUUCAGCUGUUGGGACAGAAGCAAGUUCAAUAGAUGAUUUUUCUUUGGAAAGGCAAUAUGGUAGAAGGCAAAGAGGUUGGGUGAACUCUUUUCUUGAGGGAUUGUGCAAGUACUUGUCAUUCAGUAAGUUGAAAGUUCGGGCAGAAUUGAAGCAUUGUGAUUCACUGAACUCAUCAAACUUAGUAUGCUCCGUAGGGUUUGACCGAGAUAGAGAGUUUUUUGCAACUGCUGGUGUAAAUAAGAAGAUAAAAGUGUUUGAGUAUAAUAUGAUUGUAAAUGAACACCGUGAUAUUCACUAUCCUGUGGUAGAGAUGUCUAAUAGAUCAAAACUGAGUUGUAUUUCCUGGAACAGUUAUAUGAAGAGCCAUAUAGCAUCUAGUGAUUUUGAGGGUAUAGUGCAGGUUUGGGAUGUUACUAGGAGUCAAGUUUUUGUUGAGAUGAGGGAGCAUGAGCGACGUGUGUGGUCGGUGGACUUCUCAAUUGUGGACCCAACAAAAUUGGUCAGUGGGAGUGAUGAUGGAUCUGUGAAGCUGUGGGAUAUGAAUCAGGCAAUUUUAUUCUUGCACCUACUGCUGGGAGUAUUGGCACUAUUAAAACAAGGGCAAAUGUGUGUUCUGUGCAAUUUCAACCUGAUACUGCUCGCUCCAUUGCCAUCGGCUCUGCAGACCACAAAAUUUACUGCUAUGAUCUACGUCACAUACGAGCUCCUUAUUGUACACUAGUUGGGCACACAAAGACUGUAAGCUAUGUUAAGUAUCUGGAUGCAUCGACAAUAGUAUCUGCAUCUACUGACAACUCAUUGAAGCUUUGGGACUUAUCGAUGAGUCCAGGAAGGAUAAUUGACAGUCCAGUUCAAACAUUUAAGGGGCAUACAAAUACAAAGAACUUCGUUGGCCUUUCCAUAUCUGACGGUUACAUUGCUACUGGCUCUGAAACAAAUGAGGUUUUUGUGUACCACAAAGAAUUUCCCAUGCCAGUGUUGGCCUAUAAAUUCAGCGUGACGGACCCUAUAUCAGGGCAGGAGAUUGAUGACCAGUCACAGUUCAUUUCAUGCGUCUGUUGGAGAGGGCAGUCUUCAACCCUACUUUCUGCAAACUCCAGCGGCAACAUUAAGAUCUUAGAAAUGGACUGAGGAUUGGAGUUGGGCAUCUGCUGAGUCUCAGCUAUAAAUGGACUGACUUCUUACCAAGUUGUGUGCGUGUGAAUUUGUGGCAACGGAGUUGCCAACGGUGCGUGGUGCAGAGUUGGGAGAGGUAGGAGUAGCUGUAACAGGUUUAGCAUGGUUUGAUAGGAUUAAACUAGCGUGGUAGCAAAAGUAGCAUAAAUAGGAAACAGAAUUGAGGUGUGGGGUAGUACUGCAAGGAAAGGUUUUGUACAUCAUUGGUUCGAGGUAUACUUGUACAGCCAAUCAAUCCAGUUUUUACCUAGCAGCACCAGGCUUUUGCUCGUCGUAGUGUUACUUGAAAGGCAAAAAGUAUAAAGUGGUCUACAUCUGUUGAAUCAGAUAACAGCAUUUGCCUCA